This 468-nucleotide ribosomal RNA is filed under the name uncultured bacterium. Its description in RNAcentral is "partial 16S ribosomal RNA". It matches the Rfam family "Bacterial small subunit ribosomal RNA", at positions 28 to 507 of the family's 1533-position model. The record is from RNAcentral.
GACGAACGCUGGCGGCGUGCUUAACACAUGCAAGUCGAACGGACAGGCCCUGCGUUUGUUUGUUUCUCGAUUGGCGAACGGGUGAGUAACACGUGAGUAACCUGCCCUUGACUUUGUGAUAACUUUAGGAAACUGGGGCUAAUACCGGAUAUGAUCUCCUGCUGCAUGUUGUGGGUUGGAAAGUUUCGGCGGUUGGGGAUGGACUCGCUGCUUAUCAGCUUGUUUGUGGGGUAGUUGCUUACCAAGGCUUUGACGGCUAGCCGGCCUGAGAGGGUGAACGGACACCUUGGGACUGAGAUACGGCCCAGAAUGCUACCGGCGGCAGCAGUGGGGAAUCUUGCACAAUGGGCGGACGUCUGAUGCAGAAACGCCGCGUGCGGGAUGAUGGCCUACGGGUUGUAAACAGCUUUCGAAUGUGACGAAGACUGCGUGACGGUAAUGGGUCAAGAAGCAACGGCUAACUACGUG